This 216-nucleotide long non-coding RNA is filed under the name Vigna radiata. Its description in RNAcentral is "long non-coding RNA (VRAD_LNC003538)". The record is from RNAcentral. Lineage: Eukaryota; Viridiplantae; Streptophyta; Magnoliopsida; Fabales; Fabaceae.
AAAAAAGUUAUGAUGCUUGGGGAUUUCCAUGCAAAUAUAUGUUGUAAGUGUUGGGUUAUUGAACUCCCCUCCUAUGUGGAGAAUAGGCCAAAUAAUGUGGACCAUUAUGUCUCACUUUGUUUUAGUGGAGACAAGUCAGAUUAGUAGGGCACAUUAGUGUCAUUUAAAGAGAGAACCUAAGUGAGAGAGAAAGAAAGAGAAGAAGUCACAUUCCCG